CCUACGGGAGGCAGCAGUGAGGAAUAUUGGUCAAUGGGCGCAAGCCUGAACCAGCCAAGUCGCGUGAGGGAUGACGGUCCUAUGGAUUGUAAACCUCUUUUGUCGGGGAGCAAGGCCCGCCACGUGUGGCGGGAAGGAGAGUACCCGAAGACAAAGCAUCGGCUAACCCCGUGCCAGCAGCCGCGGUAAUACGGAGGAUGCGAGCGUUAUCCGGAUUUAUUGGGUUUAAAGGGUGCGUAGGCGGAAGGUUAAGUCAGCGGUAAAAUGUCGGUGCUCAACACCGGCCUGCCGUUGAAACUGGUCUUCUUGAGUGAGCGAGAAGUAGGCGGAAUGCGUGGUGUAGCGGUGAAAUGCAUAGAUAUCACGCAGAACUCCGAUUGCGAAGGCAGCAUUCCGGCGCUCAACUGACGCUGAGGCACGAAAGCGUGGGGAUCGAACAGGAUUAGAUACCCGAGUAGUC
This 460-nucleotide ribosomal RNA is filed under the name uncultured bacterium. RNAcentral's name for it is "partial 16S ribosomal RNA". It matches the Rfam family "Bacterial small subunit ribosomal RNA", at positions 338 to 795 of the family's 1533-position model. The record is from RNAcentral.